RNAcentral lists this small RNA (18 nucleotides) under Arabidopsis thaliana (thale cress). RNAcentral describes it as "Ath_wt_06756". The record is from RNAcentral. Lineage: Eukaryota; Viridiplantae; Streptophyta; Magnoliopsida; Brassicales; Brassicaceae.
CGGGCCUGGCUCAACCCG